UAGUCUCGCACAGAUGCAUAUCAAUAAGCGGAGGAAAAGAAACUAACAAGGAUUCCCUCAGUAACGGCGAGUGAAGCGGGAAGAGCUCAAAUUUGUAAUCUUGAAAGGUCACCUUUCACGAAUUGUAGUUUAAAGAAGUGUUUUCUGUUACGAUCGUAAUAUAAGUUCUUUGGAAUAGGACAUCACAGAGGGUGAGAAUCCCGUCUAUGAUUGCGAUUUGUAGCUUUGUGAUACACUUUCAAAGAGUCGGGUUGUUUGGGAAUGCAGCCCAAAACGGGAGGUAAAUUUCUUCUAAGGCUAAAUAUUGGCGAGAGACCGAUAGCGAACAAGUACCGUGAGGGAAAGAUGAAAAGAACUUUGAAAAGAGAGUUAAAUAGUACGUGAAAUUGUCAAAAGGGAAGCGUUUAACACCAGUGUUGUUUUCUGAAAAUCAACCUCUGUUAGCUUUAUGCAUGUUUGUUUAGACCUAAUCAGCUAUCUUGCAUGUUCUAUUGUUUGCAGUGGUGCACUUUUCAGUUUACAGGUCAACAUCAGUUUUUUUUACCGUAAAAAAGUUAAGAAAGGUAGCUCAUGGCUCCGGUCGUGAGUGUUAUAGUCUUUUUCCUAUGCGGUAGGAGAGACUGAGGUCUGCAGUGUAGGCUAUUUGGCUAGAUACUCAGGUGCUAUGUGAUACCAUUUCAUAAACAACUUGUUGAUUAUGUUUUGUCUAUUGCAUACUCGCUUGUACUAUCAUACCUACGCUUAGGAUGUUGAGUCGUAGAGCACGCAG
RNAcentral lists this ribosomal RNA (769 nucleotides) under uncultured Neocallimastigales. RNAcentral's name for it is "partial large subunit ribosomal RNA". It matches the Rfam family "Eukaryotic large subunit ribosomal RNA", at positions 24 to 628 of the family's 3401-position model. Lineage: Eukaryota; Fungi; Neocallimastigomycota; Neocallimastigomycetes; Neocallimastigales. The record is from RNAcentral.